AGUGGUGAGCAAGAUUGAAGAUGGAGAAGAUAGAUGCAAUCAAGGUGGAGAUCGACUAUGGAGGGUUGAUCGAUGCUCUCUUAUGCAAGAAGGAGCCAUCUAUAUGGAAGAUGCCAGUGGAAGCCCCAUGCGAGGUGGAACUCCUAAUGGAGAUGGAUCAGACACGAGAUGAGAGACUCGAGAGGAUGAGCAAUGUCACGGAGAGGCUACCCCAAGCA
Molecule: long non-coding RNA, 218 nt
Filed under: Elaeis guineensis (African oil palm)
Lineage: Eukaryota; Viridiplantae; Streptophyta; Magnoliopsida; Arecales; Arecaceae
Description: long non-coding RNA (EGUI_LNC064492)
Source: RNAcentral